AGAAAUAUAGUUAAAGAAUAAUAUUUAUUUUGCUAAUAAAAGUUAUUUAUUAUAAAUUAUUUUUA
This 65-nucleotide transfer RNA is filed under the name Muscidifurax sinesensilla. Its description in RNAcentral is "tRNA-Ala". The record is from RNAcentral. Lineage: Eukaryota; Metazoa; Arthropoda; Insecta; Hymenoptera; Pteromalidae.